AAUAACUUCAACUUUCAAUUUUUUUAUCAAUGUUUUGACUCGUCGUCUUAUUUGAAAUUUUUUGCGAUUAAUAUUUUUAUUGUUACUAGAUGAUAAAAUAUGAAUAUUAUUUUAUGCGUGACUAAUUUUUUAAGUUUUUGUACAAAUUUUUCAAAUAAGACGAAUGGUCAAACGUUGGACAUGGAAAAACA
RNAcentral lists this microRNA precursor (191 nucleotides) under Oryza brachyantha (malo sina). RNAcentral's name for it is "MIR812 microRNA precursor family". It matches the Rfam family "MIR812 microRNA precursor family". The record is from Rfam by way of RNAcentral. Lineage: Eukaryota; Viridiplantae; Streptophyta; Magnoliopsida; Poales; Poaceae.